Molecule: ribosomal RNA, 1180 nt
Filed under: Nymphon brevicaudatum
Lineage: Eukaryota; Metazoa; Arthropoda; Pycnogonida; Pantopoda; Nymphonidae
Description: 16S ribosomal RNA
Rfam family: Archaeal large subunit ribosomal RNA (bases 797-1141)
Source: RNAcentral
UAAUAUUUUGUAAAAUAUAAUUAUUUUUAAUUUUAUAAAUUUUCAAUUUGUUUUUUAUUUGUUAAAAAAAAAAAAUAUUUUUAUUCUUAUAAUUAUUUAUAACUUGAUUUUUAAUUUAAUAGUGUAUUUUACUGUAGAGUAAAGUUUUAUAAUGUUAAAAGAAUAAAUUUAAGUUAUUACCUUUUGUAUCAGGGGAGAACAAAUUUUAUUUAUAUUUAUAUUUUCUCGAAAUUACAAUGAGCUAUAUAAAUAUAAAUUAUUAUUUUGUUGCAAUAAAAUAAGGUAUAUUUAUAUAGAGAUGAUAUGUUAUUCGUAUUUAAUGUUAUCUAGUUUUUAUUUUAAAAAUAAUUUUUUUUCUUAAGGAUAAGCUUAAGGGAUUUUAUAAUUCAUAAUGAUUUAUAAUUUAUAAGGAGUUGAGAGUGCUUUAUAUUUUAAAGUGUAAUAAUUAUUACUUAUAAUAAAAAUUUUAUUUAUUAGGGUAAAUUUUAUUUAAAACUAAUUAAAUAAGAAAAAAUGUUUUUAUUAGUAUAAAUAUUUUUAGACUAAAAAAUAAAAUUAAAUUUUAUUUAAGGAAUUCGGCAAAAUCUUUUUCGUCUGUUUAUCAAAAACAUAGCUUUUUGUUAAAAUAGAAAGUAGGGUCUGCCCGGUGAAAUUUUUAACGGCCGCAAUAUUUGUGCGAAGGUAGCAUAAUCAUUUGUCUUUUAAUUGAUGACUGGAAUGAAUGGCUGGACGGGGAUAAGCUGUCUUAUUUAUAUAUUUUUGAAAUUUACUUUUAAGUAAAAAGGCUUAAAUGUUUUAGAGGGACGAGAAGACCCUAUUGAGUUUAAUAGAGAGUAUCUUAAUUUUUCUUAAAUUUGGGGAUAUCUAUUUAGUUGGGGAGAUUUAAUAAUAUUAACUAUAUAAGAAUUAGUAGACAUUAAGUUUUUAGGAUCCAUAUUUUAUGAGUAUUAGGACAAAUUACCUUAGGGAUAACAGCGUAAUAUUUUUUAAGAGUCCAAAUCGAUUAAAAUGAUUACGACCUCGAUGUUGGAUUAAAGAACCUAAUUGGAGAAGAUUUUAAUUUAGGUAGUCUGUUCGACUAUUAAAUCUUUACAUGAUCUGAGUUCAGACCGGUGUAUACCAGGUCAGUUUUUAUCUUCUACAUUAUACUUAUAAUUUUUUUGUACGAAAGGACAAAAAA